AUGGCUGCGUCCCACGUCAACACCAAUGGCGAGCUUCUAGAUCUGUAUCAACUUCCCUUCGUCCUCGGUGUUCAACGGAACAUAAGAUUGUCGUCGCUCGGGGAACUGUCUACGGCACCCGAUAUGUUCGAACAGCUCCAUUUCCUAACCAGAACUAGACAGUGGACCUGUGCACAGAUGGAAGUUCUGCGAGGAUACAGCUGGCUAGCUGGCUGGCUGGUACGCCUCCGCGACGACGUUCUUGAACCAUUACUGCCUGUUCAUAUUCCAAAUCCUGUGCUGCACGGCCAGCAGGGUUUUCUUCCCGUGAUUACCCGCAUCAUGCACGAAGCAAUUCAGCUAAUGCAUGCAAAAAAGGACAUUGGGUUUAAGCCUGUACAGCUUGGAACGCGACUUAAUAUUUUCAGCGAAGUCCUAAUUGAUCUGGCUGAAAAAGUUUUGGGAGACGGCUUGAGCGUAGCACAGUUCCAACUGCAUAUUCCACAUCUGAUCAUUUCCAUCAACAUGCUACUCCACGCGCAGAUGGCAUUCUGA
Molecule: ribosomal RNA, 534 nt
Filed under: Triticum aestivum (bread wheat)
Lineage: Eukaryota; Viridiplantae; Streptophyta; Magnoliopsida; Poales; Poaceae
Description: partial small subunit ribosomal RNA
Source: RNAcentral